UACGUAGGUGGCAAGCGUUGUUCGGAAUUACUGGGCGUAAAGGGCGCGUAGGCGGCCCGCUAAGUCGAACGUGAAAUCCCCAGGCUCAACCUGGGAACUGCGUCCGAUACUGGCAGGCUUGAAUCCGGGAGAGGGAUGUGGAAUUCCAGGUGUAGCGGUGAAAUGCGUAGAUAUCUGGAGGAACACCGGUGGCGAAGGCGGCAUCCUGGACCGGUAUUGACGCUGAGGCGCGAAAGCUAGGGGAGCAAACGGG
RNAcentral lists this ribosomal RNA (253 nucleotides) under uncultured bacterium. RNAcentral describes it as "partial 16S ribosomal RNA". It matches the Rfam family "Bacterial small subunit ribosomal RNA", at positions 524 to 776 of the family's 1533-position model. The record is from RNAcentral.